RNAcentral lists this ribosomal RNA (497 nucleotides) under uncultured bacterium. RNAcentral describes it as "partial 16S ribosomal RNA". It matches the Rfam family "Bacterial small subunit ribosomal RNA", at positions 28 to 507 of the family's 1533-position model. The record is from RNAcentral.
GAUGAACGCUGGCGGCGUGCCUAAUACAUGCAAGUCGAGCGAACAGAUGAGGAGCUUGCUCCUCUGACGUUAGCGGCGGACGGGUGAGUAACACGUGGAUAACCUACCUAUAAGACUGGGAUAACUUCGGGAAACCGGAGCUAAUACCGGAUAAUAUUUUGAACCGCAUGGUUCAAUAGUGAAAGACGGUCUUGCUGUCACUUAUAGAUGGAUCCGCGCCGCAUUAGCUAGUUGGUAAGGUAACGGCUUACCAAGGCAACGAUGCGUAGCCGACCUGAGAGGGUGAUCGGCCACACUGGAACUGAGACACGGUCCAGACUCCUACGGGAGGCAGCAGUAGGGAAUCUUCCGCAAUGGGCGAAAGCCUGACGGAGCAACGCCGCGUGAGUGAUGAAGGUCUUCGGAUCGUAAAACUCUGUUAUUAGGGAAGAACAAAUGUGUAAGUAACUAUGCACGUCUUGACGGUACCUAAUCAGAAAGCCACGGCUAACUACGUG